This 5914-nucleotide long non-coding RNA is filed under the name Homo sapiens (human). Its description in RNAcentral is "non-protein coding lnc-TAF6-1:4". The record is from RNAcentral. Lineage: Eukaryota; Metazoa; Chordata; Mammalia; Primates; Hominidae.
CGUACGUCCUUGCCCGUCACCCUCCAAAGGCUAUCCUUUAUGUUUCCCUCCAUCGAAUCCUAGCCGCGCUCUACCUUGGGCCUCUGCUAGGUCUUGCCUCACUCGAAGAAAGCGCAGAAAUCGAAAACGCGGGUGAGAGUUUGUCCUCUGCGGUUCCCGUGUACCCAGAUAUGGCGGCCGAAGCGGCGCCGCGGAGGUAGCUGUAGUUCCGGCGCCUUCACCGUGUGCCCGAGGAGGCUGCCUGGCUGGGCUCCAGCCUCCUGGCGGUUCUCCGCUCCGCAACCCCAGCAACUUCUUUGCACUGCAGAAUUUUGAAGCGCCAUUAGCUUUGAGGAGGGUUCAUGCUCAGUUGCCCAGGCAGGAGUGCAGUGGCGCGAUCAUACCUCACUGCAGCCUCAACCUCCUGGGCUCAUGUGAUCCUCCCGCCUCAGCGUCCCGAGUAUCUGGGACCACAGAUGCGCACCACCAAGCCCAGCUAAGGUUUCUAUUUUUUCUUUCUCUUUUUUUUUGGAGACACGGUCUAGUUCUGUUGCCAGGACUGGUCUGGAACUCCUGGGCUCCAGCGAUCCUCCAGUCUUGGUCUCCUGAAGUGCUAGGAUUACAGGUGUGAGCCACCGCGCCUGGUCUUUUUUUCUUUUGAGACAGUCUCGCCCUGUCGCCCAGGCUAGAGUGCAGGGGCACCAUCAUAGCUCGCCCCAGUCUUGAACCCCUGGUUCUAGCGAUCCUCCUGCUUCAGCCUCCUGGAGUGCUGGGAAUACAGGCGUGCACGCCCCUCUAAAUUUUUUUUGGUUUUUUUUGAGACGGAGUCUUGUUCUGUCGCCCAGGCUAGAGUGCAGUGGCGUGAUCUCAGCUCACUGCAACCUCCGCCUCCUGGGUUCAAGCGAUUCUCCUGUCUCAGCCUCCCGAGUAACUGGGAUUACAGGCGCCCACCACCAUGCGUGGCUUUUUUUUUUGAGACGGAGUCUCGCUCUAUCACCCAGGCUGGAGUGCAGUGGCACGAUCUUGGCUCACUGCCAGCUCCGCCUCCCGGGUUCCCGCCAUUCUUCUGCCUCAGCCUCCCGAGUAGCUGGGACUGCAGGCGCCUGCCACCACACCCGGCUAAUUUUUUGUAUUUUUAGUAGAGACGGGCUUUCACCGUAUUAGCCAGGAUGGUCUCGAUCUCCUAAUCUUGUUAUCCACCCGCCUUGGCCUCCCAAAGUGCUGGGAUUACAGGCGUGAGUCACCGCGCCCAGCCGCCCGGCUAAUUUUUGUAUUUUUGGUAGAGACGAGGUUUCUCCAUGUUGGCCAGGCUGCUCUCGAACUCCUACACUCAGGUGAUCCGCCUGCCUCGGCCUCCCAAAGUGCUAGGAUUACAGGUGUGAGUCACUGCGCCCAGCCUCCAGGCUGGUCUUGACCUUUUGGACUCAAGUGAUCCUCCCAUCUCCACCUCUGCAGUAACUGGGACUACAGGCGCUGCACCACCAGCCCUGCAGUCUUCUUUGUGUGUGUGUGUGUGUGUAGAAUUGGGGUUUCACUAUGUUGCUCAGGCUGGAGCUUGAGCUUAACAAGACAGCGGCCAUUCUGGGUGCUGCCUCAUCGACCAGCUAGCUAUGUGUGCCCGGCUGUUGUUUGAAACUUUGGGCCCAGCUAGUUUUUAGAAAAAAAGAAAAAAGUUUAAUAGCGAUAUAGAAAAUUGAGCACCUAUAAAACUAUAUGGUGGGCUCUGGGUUACAUUGAGCUUAAGUAGACCAAGUAUCUAUCCCACCUAAAUUAUCAGCAACUCCAGGCCAUGACCCAGUGUCCCAUUCUCCUUCACGGUUUGCUGGUGUGUAGCCUCCUGGAUACAGGCAAUGUAUAUAGAUCGCAGAGAAUGUCCGUUCUGGCCUCUUCCUUGGAAGGGUCUAAAAACAGACCUUAAGGAGCUAAGUGACUUCCCCAAAGCCCACAGCUCCAGUGCCACUGCUGACUUUUGGGUGGGGGUGGGAUCAGUUAAAGAGGAAAGCUUUCAGUACUGUCAGCACAUACACCUGCCAAUUAAGGGGCUGGAUAGAGUUCAUCUCUAGGAGCAGGACCUCCACCCCCACCCUCCACCCCAGAAGCCAUGUCAUGCUGUUUCACCAGGAUCUUGCCUGAGGUUAGAUGGGAGAGAACAGCUACAAGCUUGGGUGGAGUCACUCAUAAACACACCCUGAAAGCUGUGGAGCAGGGAGAGUGCAGGCUUUAGAGGGCUCUCCAUGAUCCCUUCCCCUCCUGGGGGCUCAAAGGCAAGGGUCAAAGAUCUUCUCGGUCAAGUUUGGGGUGGCUUCCUGUCUUGGUCAUCUUGUCUCCCCCUUCCUCUUCCUCCUCUUCCUCCUCCUCCUCCUGCUCUUCCUCCCCUUCUGUUUUCUCUUCCCCAUCUGUGAUCUCCUUUCCAGUCCAAGUUUCCUGUAGACAUGCUAGAUCGGAUGACAGAAAACAAUUUAGAUAUUAGUCCUGGAGGCAGGGGAGGCUAUGGCUUGGCAGGAGAGGAGUUCAACCCUUACGCUUACCAGUUUCAGCAGCUGGGAGCACAUGACCUUCACAGAGAAAAUUUUGUAGGGGCUGCUCCUGAUGGUGGAAGUACCAGUCUCCCACAAUGUCUUCAAACUCCUCCAACAUGGUCUCACACUGGUCAAGUAGAAGGGCCAGAAGAGUAUCUGCUCUGGAGGGAUUUGGGAUCCCGCCUGUCUUCUCUCCCUGCUCAACCUGACUGAUUUUGGAGAGGCAGGUAGCCAGGAAGCUAAGUUUGGCCUACUAGAUGUGCAAUCCUCAUUCAUUCAACAAACAUUUACCAGCACCUAUUCUGCCAAGUAGAUUAUUAAACUCUUGAGUCUCAGCUCCUUGCCUGUAAAAUAUGUAUGGUAAUUGCACCUACCACAUCAGGCUGUUAAGGGUAAAAUGAGGCUACAGAUGCAAAGUAUCUGGUCCAGAGUCUGGGACACAGUAGGUGCUCAAUAAGUGAUGGUGGAUAUCAUUAGCAACCAUUGUUACUUUUUUUUUUUUUUGAGAUGGAGUCUCGCUCUGUCACCCAGGCUGGACUGCAGUGGUGGGAUCUCAGCUCACUGCAACCUCCGCCUCCCGGGUUCAAGUGAUUCUCCUGCCUCAGCUUCCUGAGUAGCUGGGACUACAGAUGCAUGCCACCACACCACCACGCCCGGCUAAUUCUUGUAUUUUUAGUAGAGACAGGGUUUCACUAUGAUGGCCCGGCUGGUCUUGAACCCCUGAUGUCGUGAUCCGCCUGUCUCGCCCUCCCAAAGUGCUGGGAUUACAUACGUGAGCCAUCGCACCUGGCCCAUUAUUACUUUUUAAAAAUUUUCCUUAAGGCAGGGCCCAAUGGCUCAUGCCUGUAAUCCCAGCACUUUGGGAGGCCAAGGCGGGUGGAUCACCUGAGGUCAGGAGUUCGACCAGCCUGGCCAACAUGAUGAAACCCCGUCUCUACUAAAAUUACAAAAAAUUAGCUGGGCGUGGUGGCAGGGGCCUGUAAUCCCAGCUACUCGGGAGGCUGAAGCAGGAGAAUGGCUUGAACCCGGGAGGCGGAGGUCGCGGUGAGCCGAGAUGGUGCCGGUGCACUCCAGCCUGGGCAAUAAGAGUGAAACUCCGUCUUGAAAAAAAAAAUUCUUUAAAAUUAUUAUUAUUUGUAGAGAAGGGGGUCUCUUAUGUUGCACAAGCUGGUCUCUAACUCUGGUCUCAAACAGUCCUUCUCCCUCAGACUCACUAAGUGCUAGCAUUACAGUUGUGAGCCACUCCACCCGGCUCAUUAUGAUUUCUUUUUUUUUGUUUUUGUUUUUGUUUUUUUUUUUAAGAUGGAGUCUUGCUCUGUCGCCCUGGCUGGAGUGCAAUGGUGCGAUCUUGGCUCAUGGCAACCUCCACCUCCUGGAUUCAAGCAAUUCUCUUGCCUCAGCCUCCCAAGUAGCUGGGAUCACAGGCGUGCACCACCACGCCCAGCUAACUUUUGUGUUUUUAUUAAAGACGGGGUUUUGCCUUGUUGGCCAGGCUGGUCUCGAACUUAUGACCUCAGGUGAUCCACCUGCCUCAGCCUCCCAAAUUGCUGGGAUUACAGGUGUGAGCCACCGCACCCCACCGCUCCUGGACCCACUUUAAUCAAUGGCACAGUCCUCACUCUGGCCCCUUCCCCAUGCUUAGGGGUAGACAUCCCCUAUAGUCAAACCCUAGAACCUAGCUCCCCUCUCAGGUUCCCUUCUCACCUCCCUGGAUGGUGCAGUGUCUUAUCCUACCUGCUUCUUGAGGUAUGUGACCUCCACGCUGGGCUCAUCCCAAAGCUCCAGAGGGAUCCCCAGAUCCACCUUCACCCCCUUCUGCACUAGGCCUUUCAGUGUUGCCAUGGUCUGACUCUGACCCUGAGAGAUUAAGAAUUUGGCAUCAGCCCAGCUCACCACCCCACCCCUCCCUUCCCCUUUCUGCCAUUUCAGUUUUGUCAACUACUGGAGAUUCAAGGGUGAGUUCCAUGAUGGUGAGAUGAUGGGCAGAUAACCUCUGGAGGGCCUCAGGGGAUACAGAUCUUUGUAUCUGAGAAGUGGGGUCCUGCCCUGGGGAAGGGUCUGACCUUGGCAUAUCUCAGUGAGCCCUUGCGCUCAGCGUGAACACUAUAGUCCAGGAUCCGCUCACAUAAAUUCUCUAAGGCCUCUUCCAGCCUUGUCUCUCUGUGGAAAGAGAGGAAACAAAGAUUCCCUGGAUGCUGUAGGAACUCCCAGGGCUCCGUUGGGGGUUGGAAAGGGGAGGAGCACGAAGGACUCACGAAACGCUGUAAGGCACGUGUCUCUUCCUCUUGCCUGUAUCCAGCACCUGCCCCAGCUCCAGCACCUCUCGAGAUCGACCGGUGCGACUCAGUUCCGCCUGUAGCUCUGUGCUCAGCAGCUUACACACUGGUGGGGAGGAGAAACGUCCGGGGGGAGGUAAAAGACAAACACACCAGCCAUUCAUUCUGCAGAUGACCUGAGGCAGCAGAGCAUACAAGUGCAGACUAUGGAGCCAGACUGGCUGGGUUGGAAUCCUGGCUCAGCCAUUUAGCAGCUGUGUGGCAAUCUUCCUGCUUGCUGUGCCUCGGUUUCUUCAUCUUUUUUUUUUUUUUUUUCAGACGGACUCUCGCUCUGUCGCCCAGGCUGUAGUGCAGUGGCGCAGUCUCGGCUCACUGCCAGCUCCGCCUCCUGGGUUCACGCCAUUCUCCUGCCUCAGUCUCCCGAGUAGCUGGGACUACAGGCACCCACCACCACGCCCGGCUAAUUUUUUGUAUUUUUAGUAGAGACAGGGUUUCACCGUGUUAGCCAGGAUGGUCUCGAUCAGCUGACCUUGUGAUCCGCCCGCCUUGGCCUCCCAAAGUACUGGGAUUACAGGCGUGAGCCACCACGCCCGGCCGGUUUCUUCAUCUUUAUAAUGGGAUAAUAGGCCAGGAGUGGUGGCUCACACCUGUAAUCCCAGCACUUUGGGAGGCUGAGGCGGGCAGAUCACUUGAGGAGUUCAAGACCAGCCUGGCCCACAUGGUGAAACCCCAUCUCUAUUAAAAAUACAAAAACUAGCCAGGUGUGGUGGUGCGCACCUGUAAUAGCUACUCGGGAAGCUGAGGCAGGAGAAUCACUCGAACCCAGGAGGUGGAGGUUGCAGUGAGCUGAGAUCCCACCACUGCACCCCAGCCCAGGCAACAAAGGGAGACUCCAUCUUAAAAAAAGUAAAAUACAUUAAAAAUAAAUAGGCCAGCACAGUGACUCAUGCCUGUAAUCCCAACACUUUGGGAGGCUGAGGUGGGUGGAUCACGAGGUCAAGAGAUUGAGACCAUCCUGGCCAACAUAGUGAAACCUUGUCUCUACUAAAAAUACAAAAAUUAGCUGGGCAUGGUGGCGGGCGCCUGUAAUCCCAGCUACUUGGGAGGCUGAGGCAGGAGAAUCGCUUGAACCCGGGAGGC